Molecule: small RNA, 594 nt
Filed under: Rattus norvegicus (Norway rat)
Lineage: Eukaryota; Metazoa; Chordata; Mammalia; Rodentia; Muridae
Description: uncharacterized LOC102552608
Source: RNAcentral
AAAGCUUUAGGCGUGACUACAUAGAAACUCUUUUACAAAGUACAUUUGACCAUGAAAGUGGGUUCUAGAGCUAAAGGGCUAGAAUCUUGUGUGGUCACCAACCAAUAGCAUAAAGGUAACCAGGCAACAAAGCACAUACAACAUCUCUUCUAAAAAUGGGUAGUGGUCUAGGGAGGGAAGAGUCUGGGAUAAUCUUUUUUGGGGAAUUUGGAUGGGGUCUGCCUCUAUAGCAAAAGCUCUGCAACCUGGAAGAGACAGAGAGCAGCUGAGUUGUGUGAAAGACGCUCAGACAAACCAAGCUGCCUGGAGGAGACACAAGAGCCCCUUCAGUCUGUCAAGCUGCCUGCAAGUCACCCAGAAUGACCUGCACUGAGUAGGGUACAGAAGUCACCCUCUGUUAUUGCAUGGAGAUUAAUCUGUGUCUCUACAACCAGCAGUAUCUGUAUUACGAUAUUUGGUAGGCUUAUGCUGAGAGUAUGUAAAUUUUAAACUGUAAUGGCAUUUUGAUAAAUUGUUGACUCCAUCAGUAUGAAGUGGCUUUAUAUUUACUGAUUAAUUUGGUCUUGAAACAUCCUUUAUCAGAUAUUAGACUAA